AAAUAUAGUCUCGUCUCCUUCUCGUGAAUCCAAUAUCGUGUCUCGCCUCGUCUCGUGAGCUGACUAUAUCGUUACACCCCUACUGGAAGAGGCCACCUUGUUUUGGGCAUAGGCUUCAUAUUGCGAUUGACAAAAAGCACAGGCAUCUUGUCCCAACAUGGCAAGAUGUUGAGGUGCUGGAAGCAGGAAGUAAAGCACUAGGCCCUCUUCUGGAGUUCACAGAUGCUCUUUCAGGAUCAAAGCCAUUACGCCGGCAGCUGCGAGAGAACUUAUGGCUGUGGGGACAGAGGAAGACAGCCCUACCCCAGGACCCUCACCUGCUUCAGCCACCCGAUGGCUGCAGAAACUGGAUCAGGUGAUGAUGCAAGGGAGGGAGCAAAAAGAAAAAAUGUCUUUUGGCAGCUAUUUCAAAAAUCACAGGAAUUCAGGGAAGACGAGUAUCUGCCCACUGCCACUGAAAAAGAGAUCAAGAGCUACUUAAUGAUAUCCGAGGUGGACAG
This is a long non-coding RNA of Brienomyrus brachyistius, 500 nucleotides long. RefSeq lists it as uncharacterized. The transcript has 3 exons. Lineage: Eukaryota; Metazoa; Chordata; Actinopteri; Osteoglossiformes; Mormyridae. The record is from RefSeq and is a predicted model, not a curated record.